UGGGCGUUAAGUUGCAGGGUAUAGACCCGAAACCCGGUGAUCUAGCCAUGGGCAGGUUGAAGGUUGGGUAACACUAACUGGAGGACCGAACCGACUAAUGUUGAAAAAUUAGCGGAUGACCUGUGGCUGGGGGUGAAAGGCCAAUCAAACCGGGAGAUAGCUGGUUCUCCCCGAAAGCUAUUUAGGUAGCGCCUCGUGAAUUCAUCUCCGGGGGUAGAGCACUGUUUCGGCUAGGGGGCCAUCCCGGCUUACCAACCCGAUGCAAACUGCGAAUACCGGAGAAUGUUAUCACGGGAGACACACGGCGGGUGCUAACGUCCGUCGUGAAGAGGGAAACAACCCAGACCGCCAGCUAAGGUCCCAAAGUCAUGGUUAAGUGGGAAACGAUGUGGGAAGGCCCAGACAGCCAGGAUGUUGGCUUAGAAGCAGCCAUCAUUUAAAGAAAGCGUAAUAGCUCACUGGUCGAGUCGGCCUGCGCGGAAGAUGUAACGGGGCUAAACCAUGCACCGAAGCUGCGGCAGCGAACGUAUCACCCAAGACAACUUUACGGAGUUGACGAUUGACGGAGCGAAGCGACGUCAAAGCGUUCAUUAAAGUCGAGUUGGCUUAGGGAUACGUUCGUUGGGUAGGGGAGCGUUCUGUAAGCCUGUGAAGGUGUGUCGUGAGGCAUGCUGGAGGUAU
RNAcentral lists this ribosomal RNA (681 nucleotides) under Salmonella enterica. RNAcentral describes it as "partial 23S ribosomal RNA". It matches the Rfam family "Bacterial large subunit ribosomal RNA", at positions 689 to 1282 of the family's 2925-position model. Lineage: Bacteria; Pseudomonadati; Pseudomonadota; Gammaproteobacteria; Enterobacterales; Enterobacteriaceae. The record is from RNAcentral.